RNAcentral lists this ribosomal RNA (305 nucleotides) under uncultured bacterium. RNAcentral describes it as "bacterial SSU rRNA". It matches the Rfam family "Bacterial small subunit ribosomal RNA", at positions 337 to 639 of the family's 1533-position model. The record is from RNAcentral.
UCCUACGGGGCGCAGCAGUGAGGAAUAUUGGUCAAUGGCCGAGAGGCUGAACCAGCCAAGUCGCGUGAGGGAUGACGGCCCUACGGGUUGUAAACCUCUUUUGUCGGGGAGCAAGACCCGCCUCGUGCAGGCGGAGCGAGAGUACCCGAAGAAAAAGCAUCGGCUAACUCCGUGCCAGCAGCCGCGGUAAUACGGAGGAUGCGAGCGUUAUCCGGAUUUAUUGGGUUUAAAGGGUGCGCAGGCGGACCAUCAAGUCAGCGGUAAAAUCGUGGGGCCCAACCCCAUUCCGCCGUUGAAACUGGCGG